This is a long non-coding RNA of Pseudoliparis swirei, 765 nucleotides long. RefSeq lists it as uncharacterized. The transcript is spliced from 2 exons. The record is from RefSeq and is a predicted model, not a curated record. Lineage: Eukaryota; Metazoa; Chordata; Actinopteri; Perciformes; Liparidae.
CUUGCUUAGUCCCUUUCUCCCUCUCUCUCCCUCUCUCGCUUUCGUUCUCCCUCUAACACACUCUCUAUCUCCGUCUUUCCCUCCCACGUUCACUCACUCUCUCUCUAAAAUUCUCACUGUAGGCUGCGGGAACAAUCCAUUUCCCUCCAGGAGCCGGCCAAUCAGAGUGCGUGGGAAUGAAUGAUGUCACGGCAGCCCCGUACUAAUGUGGAGAGGGAGAACUGACUGAUCCCAUGCAGUGUUUAAGGCUUGCAGCUCUCUACCACCGGCAGUCCUCCUGGUUGAUCUGCUACUGUACUAUCUUCAAAAGGGAUCUGCUUUCAUUUUCCCGGGGAGGGAGUACUGUAUUGAACAGAAUACAACAGAGGUGAAUACAAUAUCUGGGCAUAUGUUUGUAUGACAUGAAGAAGGUAAUAUACACAGUAUACUCAGAAAAGUGUGCAUAGACAAUAUAGGCAAGUCCAGAACAGAAUACACAAUAUUUUGGUUUAAACAUUAUACAUUUGUAUGUGUGAUCUGUAUUGAAGUGGAAAUUGUGCUACUGCUUGUAAACGUCACCAUCAAACCAGGUGAAAAACACAGACUGCAGACAAUGGCAGCUUUGUUCACCCAACUCUGAAUUCAGCUUCUAAAGAGAUACAAGGGCAAGUGUUUCUAGAGCUGUGUUACUAGGAACUGACCAGGACACAAUUCCCCCAACCCUCUCCACUGCUGCAGUCAAAUUAUUGUGAAUUAUGAAAUAAACUAUAUUCUUUGUUGACCUCU